UGGGGAAUAUUGCACAAUGGGCGCAAGCCUGAUGCAGCCAUGCCGCGUGUGUGAAGAAGGCCUUCGGGUUGUAAAGCACUUUCAGCGGGGAGGAAGGCGUUAAGGUUAAUAACCUUGGCGAUUGACGUUACCCGCAGAAGAAGCACCGGCUAACUCCGUGCCAGCAGCCGCGGUAAUACGGGGGGUGCAAGCGUUAAUCGGAAUUACUGGGCGUAAAGCGCACGCAGGCGGUUGAUUGAGUCAGAUGUGAAAUCCCCGGGCUUAACCCGGGAAUUGCAUCUGAUACUGGUCAGCUAGAGUCUUGUAGAGGGGGGUAGAAUUCCAUGUGUAGCGGUGAAAUGCGUAGAGAUGUGGAGGAAUACCGGUGGCGAAGGCGGCCCCCUGGACAAAGACUGACGCUCAGGUGCGAAAGCGUGGGGAGCAAACAGG
This 429-nucleotide ribosomal RNA is filed under the name Chloroflexota bacterium. RNAcentral describes it as "Chloroflexi bacterium partial 16S ribosomal RNA". It matches the Rfam family "Bacterial small subunit ribosomal RNA", at positions 355 to 776 of the family's 1533-position model. Lineage: Bacteria; Bacillati; Chloroflexota. The record is from RNAcentral.